AUUGAACGCUGGCGGCAGGCUUAACACAUGCAAGUCGAGCGGUAGCACAGGGGAGCUUGCUCCCUGGGUGACGAGCGGCGGACGGGUGAGUAAUGUCUGGGAAACUGCCUGAUGGAGGGGGAUAACUACUGGAAACGGUAGCUAAUACCGCAUAACGUCGCAAGACCAAAGAGGGGGACCUUCGGGCCUCUUGCCAUCAGAUGUGCCCAGAUGGGAUUAGCUAGUAGGUGGGGUAAUGGCUCACCUAGGCGACGAUCCCUAGCUGGUCUGAGAGGAUGACCAGCCACACUGGAACUGAGACACGGUCCAGACUCCUACGGGAGGCAGCAGUGGGGAAUAUUGCACAAUGGGCGCAAGCCUGAUGCAGCCAUGCCGCGUGUGUGAAGAAGGCCUUCGGGUUGUAAAGCACUUUCGGCGAGGAGGAAGGUGGUGAGCUUAAUACGUUCAUCAAUUGACGUUACUCGCAGAAGAAGCACCGGCUAACUCCGUG
This 490-nucleotide ribosomal RNA is filed under the name uncultured bacterium. RNAcentral's name for it is "partial 16S ribosomal RNA". It matches the Rfam family "Bacterial small subunit ribosomal RNA", at positions 30 to 507 of the family's 1533-position model. The record is from RNAcentral.